AGGAGAGUUUGAUCCUGGCUCAGAACGAACGCUGGCGGCAGGCUUAACACAUGCAAGUCGAACGAGAAGGUACCUUCGGGUACUGGACAGUGGCGCACGGGUGAGUAACGCGUGGGAAUCUACCAUGGAGUGGGGGAUAACAGUUGGAAACGACUGCUAAUACCGCAUACGCCCUACGGGGGAAAGAUUUAUUGCUCUAUGAUGAGCCCGCGUUAGAUUAGGUAGUUGGUGGGGUAAUGGCCUACCAAGCCUACGAUCUAUAGCUGGUCUGAGAGGAUGAUCAGCCACACUGGGACUGAGACACGGCCCAGACUCCUACGGGAGGCAGCAGUGGGGAAUAUUGGACAAUGGGCGCAAGCCUGAUCCAGCCAUGCCGCGUGAGUGAAGAAGGCCUUAGGGUUGUAAAACUCUUUCAACUGUGAGGAUGAUGACAGUAGCAGUAGAAGAAGCACCGGCUAACUUCGUGCCAGCAGCCGCGGUAAUACGAAGGGUGCGAGCGUUGUUCGGAAUUACUGGGCGUAAAGGGCGUGUAGGCGGAUUGGCAAGAUAGAGGUGAAAGGCCUGGGCUCAACCUGGGAACUGCCUUUAUAACUUCCAGUCUAGAGAUCGAGAGAGGAUAGCGG
Molecule: ribosomal RNA, 623 nt
Filed under: uncultured bacterium
Lineage: Bacteria
Description: bacterial SSU rRNA
Rfam family: Bacterial small subunit ribosomal RNA
Source: RNAcentral